This 116-nucleotide ribosomal RNA is filed under the name Columba livia (rock pigeon). Lineage: Eukaryota; Metazoa; Chordata; Aves; Columbiformes; Columbidae. The record is from RNAcentral.
AUAUACAACCAUAGCACCCUGAGAACGCCCCAUCUCGUCUGAUCUGGGAAGCUAAGCAGGGUCGGGCCCGGUCAGUGCUUGGAUGGGAGACCAAUGGUACCUUGGUGCGGAUUAGA